UUUUUCUACAGUUCCUAUGGUGGCAACAAAUGCAUGUAUGGAUCCAAAGAUCCAAACAUUCUGUGCUUGAAAUCUAUAUCAUCAACCUUUUGAUUGUAAAUCUAAAGUGUGAACUCUUGCACAGUGGAAGGACAUUAUGUUCAAAACAACUCGACUAAUAGCCUGAAUAUGAUGUCCCUCUUGUAGACUAUUUUCAUGUGUUUAGGUACCACUUUCAGGUUAUUUGUAAGCUUCUCAUGAAGAAUAAUUUGAAAGGAGCAACACACUGGGGAGCACAUGUUAUUAUGUAUAUAGAAAAAAUGCAAGGUUGAGAGGUAUUGAUGUUUUUAAUUAUAAGAAAUUUCUUUUGAAUGGUAGUGUUUGAUUUGAGUGAUGUUUCUUAUUUAUGUUUAUAUUUGUGGUUCAAAGUUUGGUUUGGGAAUAUCCCUCAAUAGUUGGAAUUGUAGGUAGACUUUAUUGUCUUUUUUGUCCCACAAAAUGAUAAAGUUUUAACAUCAAGAUAAGUUUCAUAAAACCUAUAUAAUAAGCCCAUAUUUUAAAAAAAUUAUUUUACCUCUUUUUGUUACUAUUAAAGUUUUUGAUUUCCAUAUCUGGUAUUCCAUCUACAUAUGAAUUUCUCAGUAUAAAGGAAUGUCUAUACUUUUUAAAAUGUGUUUUUUUAACUCAAAAGUCUUGACAAAACUACUAUAGCCGGUACGU
Long non-coding RNA from Lactuca sativa (garden lettuce), 699 nucleotides. RefSeq lists it as uncharacterized. NCBI's taxonomy places the organism in Eukaryota, Viridiplantae, Streptophyta, Magnoliopsida, Asterales, Asteraceae. The record is from RefSeq and is a predicted model, not a curated record.